CUUUAAGGUCCCCUCCAAACCAAUACAGACUCUGUAAUAGACUGAAGAUGGUCAGGAGGAUGGAAAAGACAGAACAAGGAGGAGAGCUGACCCAUAGAGACCAAAGGAUCACUGCAUGCAGAAUGAGGCCAUAAUCAGAUAGAAGAGGUGGGGAAAAGAGGGAGAAAUUUCCUCCCUUCAAUAAACAGGAAACACGGACCAUGAUGAGGUGUCUGACGUCCCCAAAUAAAAGCGGAGGCUCUGCAGACACAGCGGAUGCAUCACGGGCUGCAUUGAAGUCUCUGACUGUGGGUUAACUCACUUAUCAGCUACAGAAACACCACAGGCCUGUCUGUAUUGUCAGAACACAAACCUGUGGCCAUCUACACCCAGCUCACAGCAAAGUAAGCGCUGUACGAUCUCCAAGAGAUGUUGGGGCAAUCAGGAUGGGCCGUGCUGUGUCCUUCUGUCCCUGCCCUCCUGCUGCUGCUGGUUGGUGCAGGUACCACUGUGAGCACCCAGGACAUCUGCAGCUCCACGGCUGAUGGAACCCUCCAAGCUCCAGUCCUGGUGCUGAGCACUUCCAGAGCUCAGGAAGGAGAUGUCGUCCUGGCUUAUUGUUUCCUUCAGAAGAUGAUACCUGCUACCCGCAUUGUCCUCUGCAAGGAUGGGGUGCAGGAGUACACCAUGAAAGCCCAAGAGGACAUGGUCAUCUACUCCAUGCCAAUGAAUGUGUCUGCAGGAAGCAGUGGGUCUUACACCUGUGGGUACCAGCAGAGGGAUGAGAACCAUUGGAUAAGGAGCUCUGCCCUCAGCACUCCCGUGGUCCUCCAUGUCACAGGCCAUGGGUCCAACUCCAUUAAAGGAUCAGCACAUACAGCUGCCUACACCCAGUUGGACUUGGCAGUCAUUGCAGUGGCAUCAGCAGCCGUCACCCUUCUCUUGUCCUCAGCCUCCUACUGGAUCAUCAAGAAAGGUGCCUGCCGAGAGAGAUGCCAAAGUGCUGGUAGUGCUGAGGAACCUUCUCCUGACCACGCUUCUUACUGUAAGUGCCAUUCCCUGUGCACCCUUUAACCUCCAGGCACAGAGUACAAUGCAGACACGAUCCCAUAAGUCAGUAUUAAUCACAUGAAUUAAUUAACAGCUGAUCAAGUUAAUUUGUCAGGGUAUGGUCCCUACAGUAUCCAGCUAUCUUCUCUCUAAUCCUCCCCAUCAAACAUGAUCAGGUUGCCUUCAACUUGCCCUACAGUCCCCAUUUCUUUUGCUGGCCCUGCUGUGAACUAACAGCACUUUCACUUUCCAAACCAGCUCUGAGUGUUUCAUGUUAAACGUUCAGAGCAUUUCAUAUGGGGGUGAGGACAGUUCUUACCAACAGAGCAGCCUCCACCCAAUAUCACACAGCAGCAAAACCAGCCACCCCACAACACAGGGCGUUACCGUGGGGCCGCAAUGCAGAGCUCAGCAGCCAUUGCAGGGAGCUGUAACGGUGAAUAAUGUUGGCAUAGGAAGCCCAUGGGUGCAGUGGUGCUGGUGGCUGGGGAAGGUCUCUUCCCUGCUGAUGGCUGGAAACUCAUUCAGGAUCUCCCUGCAGAUGCCAACGUGGAUGAAAGGAGGAGAGUGAAGGUGAGUUGUGCCCUUGUAGUGGCCCUAAAGGUUGAAGGUGCUUUUAUUGCCUACAUAAGGCAUGGCAAUGGAGGGGAAAUGCAAGCCCAGAGUGCUGCUGGUGGUGCUCUGGCUGCAGUUCCCCUCCUGCCAUGAUCCCAUGGGGGAUGCUGCGUGGUCGUGCUGUGGGGCCAUUGUAAUUCCUUGUCUGUGUUUUGAAUCGACAGCUCUGAAGUUGGCACAUAAGGCAGAUGAUGAGAAAGUGAGAGGCUGUCCACCCCUUUCUAUGGCAAGAACAACAGGGGAAGCACAGCAGAGGUGACCCUGAGCAAUAAAAGCAUGAAACCCCACUGAACCCA
Coturnix japonica (Japanese quail) is the source of this 1940-nucleotide long non-coding RNA. NCBI's taxonomy places the organism in Eukaryota, Metazoa, Chordata, Aves, Galliformes, Phasianidae. The record is from Ensembl.